RNAcentral lists this ribosomal RNA (494 nucleotides) under uncultured bacterium. RNAcentral describes it as "partial 16S ribosomal RNA". It matches the Rfam family "Bacterial small subunit ribosomal RNA", at positions 29 to 505 of the family's 1533-position model. The record is from RNAcentral.
AUGCACGCUGGCGGCGUGCCUAAUACAUGCAGGUCGAGCGAACGGACGAGAAGCUUGCUUCUCUGAUGUUAGCGGCGGACGGGUGAGUAACACGUGGAUAACCUACCUAUAAGACUGGGAUAACUUCGGGAAACCGGAGCUAAUACCGGAUAAUAUUUUGAACCGCAUGGUUCAAAAGUGAAAGACGGUCUUGCUGUCACUUAUAGAUGGAUCCGCGCUGCAUUAGCUAGUUGGUAAGGUAACGGCUUACCAAGGCAACGAUGCAUAGCCGACCUGAGAGGGUGAUCGGCCACACUGGAACUGAGACACGGUCCAGACUCCUACGGGAGGCAGCAGUAGGGAAUCUUCCGCAAUGGGCGAAAGCCUGACGGAGCAACGCCGCGUGAGUGAUGAAGGUCUUCGGAUCGUAAAACUCUGUUAUUAGGGAAGAACAUAUGUGUAAGUAACUGUGCACAUCUUGACGGUACCUAAUCAGAAAGCCACGGCUAACUACG